RNAcentral lists this transfer RNA (67 nucleotides) under Planctomycetaceae bacterium. Its description in RNAcentral is "tRNA-OTHER". It matches the Rfam family "tRNA". Rfam says of the family: Transfer RNA (tRNA) molecules are approximately 80 nucleotides in length. Their secondary structure includes four short double-helical elements and three loops (D, anti-codon, and T loops). Further hydrogen bonds mediate the characteristic L-shaped molecular structure. tRNAs have two regions of fundamental functional importance: the anti-codon, which is responsible for specific mRNA codon recognition, and the 3' end, to which the tRNAs corresponding amino acid is attached (by aminoacyl-tRNA synthetases). tRNAs cope with the degeneracy of the genetic code in two manners: having more than one tRNA (with a specific anti-codon) for a particular amino acid; and 'wobble' base-pairing, i.e. permitting non-standard base-pairing at the 3rd anti-codon position. The record is from RNAcentral. Lineage: Bacteria; Pseudomonadati; Planctomycetota; Planctomycetia; Planctomycetales; Planctomycetaceae.
GGGGCUGAUACGCCGUCGAGCGCGACUCAUAAUCGCUUGGUCGCUGGUUCGAAUCCAGCCGGCCCUA